AUUGAACGCUGGCGGCAGGCCUAACACAUGCAAGUCGAACGGUAACAGGAAACAGCUUGCUGUUUCGCUGACGAGUGGCGGACGGGUGAGUAAUGUCUGGGAAACUGCCUGAUGGAGGGGGAUAACUACUGGAAACGGUAGCUAAUACCGCAUAACGUCGCAAGACCAAAGAGGGGGACCCUCGGGCCUCUUGCCAUCGGAUGUGCCCAGAUGGGAUUAGCUUGUUGGUGGGGUAACGGCUCACCAAGGCGACGAUCCCUAGCUGGUCUGAGAGGGUGACCAGCCACACUGGAACUGAGACACGGUCCAGACUCCUACGGGAGGCAGCAGUAGGGAAUAUUGCACAAUGGGCGCAAGCCUGAUGCAGCCAUGCCGCGUGUAUGAAGAAGGCCUUCGGGUUGUAAAGUACUUUCAGCGGGGAGGAAGGGAGUAAAGUUAAUACCUUUGCUCAUUGACGUUACCCGCAGAAGAAGCACCGGCUAACUCCGUG
Molecule: ribosomal RNA, 490 nt
Filed under: uncultured bacterium
Lineage: Bacteria
Description: partial 16S ribosomal RNA
Rfam family: Bacterial small subunit ribosomal RNA
Source: RNAcentral